UUUCCGUAGGUGAACCUGCGGAAGGAUCAUUAUUGGAUUUUGAAACUUCAGGCUGCUGCUGGCUCUCCUCGGAGGGCAUUUGCACGCUUGUUGUCCAUUAUUUCUCCCACUGUGCACAAAUUGUAGACCUUUCAGUAGGCCUAUGUUGUUUUUCACAAUCUCUGAAUGUAAUAGAAUGGUUUUGAAUCUUGGGAAAUACAAUACAACUUUCAGCAACGGAUCUCUUGGCUCUC
Molecule: unclassified non-coding RNA, 233 nt
Filed under: plant metagenome
Description: partial contains small subunit ribosomal RNA, internal transcribed spacer 1, and 5.8S ribosomal RNA
Source: RNAcentral